UACGAAGGUGGCAAGCGUUACUCGGAAUUACUAGGCGUAAAGGGCAGGUAGGCGGUCUCGUUAGUCUGUUGUGAAAGCUCCUUGCUUAACGGGGAGAGGCCAACAGAUACUGCGAGGCUUGAGUAUAGGAGAGGGUACUGGAAUUCCCGGUGUAGCGGUGAAAUGCGCAGAGAUCGGGAGGAACACCAAUGGCGAAAGCAGGUACCUGGACUAUUACUGACGCUCAGCUGCGAAAGCUAGGGGAGCAAACAGG
RNAcentral lists this ribosomal RNA (253 nucleotides) under uncultured bacterium. RNAcentral's name for it is "partial 16S ribosomal RNA". It matches the Rfam family "Bacterial small subunit ribosomal RNA", at positions 524 to 776 of the family's 1533-position model. The record is from RNAcentral.